GGAAUAUUGCACAAUGGGGGAAACCCUGAUGCAGCAACGCCGCGUGGGUGAAGAAGUCAUUCGUGAUGUAAAGCUCUAUCAGCAGGGAAGAAAGAAAUGACGGUACCUGAGUAAGAAGCCCCGGCUAACUACGUGCCAGCAGCCGCGGUAAUACGUAGGGGGCAAGCGUUAUCCGGAAUUACUGGGUGUAAAGGGAGCGUAGACGGUAAUGCAAGUCUGGAGUGAAAGGCGGGGGCCCAACCCCCGGACUGCUCUGGAAACUGUGUAACUGGAGUGCAGGAGAGGCAGGCGGAAUUCCUAGUGUAGCGGUGAAAUGCGUAGAUAUUAGGAGGAACACCAGUGGCGAAGGCGGCCUGCUGGACUGUAACUGACGUUGAGGCUCGAAAGCGUGGGGAGCA
RNAcentral lists this ribosomal RNA (398 nucleotides) under uncultured bacterium. Its description in RNAcentral is "bacterial SSU rRNA". It matches the Rfam family "Bacterial small subunit ribosomal RNA", at positions 358 to 770 of the family's 1533-position model. The record is from RNAcentral.